This 496-nucleotide ribosomal RNA is filed under the name uncultured bacterium. RNAcentral describes it as "partial 16S ribosomal RNA". It matches the Rfam family "Bacterial small subunit ribosomal RNA", at positions 29 to 507 of the family's 1533-position model. The record is from RNAcentral.
AUGAACGCUGGCGGCGUGCCUAAUACAUGCAAGUCGAGCGAACGGACGAGAAGCUUGCUUCUCUGAUGUUAGCGGCGGACGGGUGAGUAACACGUGGAUAACCUACCUAUAAGACUGGGAUAACUUCGGGAAACCGUAGCUAAUACCGGAUAAUAUUUUGAACCGCAUGGUUCAAAAGUGAAAGACGGUCUUGCUGUCACUUAUAGAUGGAUCCGCGCUGCAUUAGCUAGUUGGUAAGGUAACGGCUUACCAAGGCAACGAUGCAUAGCCGACCUGAGAGGGUGAUCGGUCACACUGGAACUGAGACACGGUCCAGACUCCUACGGGAGGCAGCAGUAGGGAAUCUUCCGCAAUGGGCGAAAGCCUGACGGAGCAACGCCGCGUGAGUGAUGAAGGUCUUCGGAUCGUAAAACUCUGUUAUUAGGGAAGAACAUAUGUGUAAGUAACUGUGCACAUCUUGACGGUACCUAAUCAGAAAGCCACGGCUAACUACGUG